RNAcentral lists this ribosomal RNA (253 nucleotides) under uncultured bacterium. Its description in RNAcentral is "partial 16S ribosomal RNA". It matches the Rfam family "Bacterial small subunit ribosomal RNA", at positions 524 to 776 of the family's 1533-position model. The record is from RNAcentral.
UACAGAGGGGGCUAGCGUUGCUCGGAAUCACUGGGCGUAAAGCGCACGUAGGCGGCUUUUUAAGUCAGGGGUGAAAUCCUGGAGCUCAACUCCAGAACUACCUUUGAUACUGGGAAGCUUGAGUCCGGGAGAGGUGAGUGGAACUCCGAGUGUAGAGGUGAAAUUCGUAGAUAUUCGGAAGAACACCAGUGGCGAAGGCGGCUCUCUGGACCGAUACUGACGCUGAGGCGCGAAAGCGUGGGGAACAAACAGG